UAUCAAUGGCCUCCAAGCCAGCACCAAUGAAAAGACCUACUGGCAGUUCCUCAGUGGCAAAGAACCCCUUGAACAAGGUGUUGGCAGCUACAAACCAAAAGAUAAUGAGCAAAUUGUGGCCAAUUUCACUAAAUACUGAGUUAUCACUUACAAUACGACCUAGGACUAAGAUUCAAGGCUGCUUUGUAUCAGAAGAUCCCCCUUCCAGACAAAAAGAUAUGGCAAGAUGACAAUAAAAAUGCUGAUUUGACAUGUGC
Python bivittatus (Burmese python) is the source of this 257-nucleotide non-coding RNA. The record is from RefSeq and is a predicted model, not a curated record. Lineage: Eukaryota; Metazoa; Chordata; Lepidosauria; Squamata; Pythonidae.